This 497-nucleotide ribosomal RNA is filed under the name uncultured bacterium. RNAcentral's name for it is "partial 16S ribosomal RNA". It matches the Rfam family "Bacterial small subunit ribosomal RNA", at positions 28 to 507 of the family's 1533-position model. The record is from RNAcentral.
GAUGAACGCUGGCGGCGUGCCUAAUACAUGCAAGUCGAGCGAACAGACGAGGAGCUUGCUCCUCUGACGUUAGCGGCGGACGGGUGAGUAACACGUGGAUAACCUACCUAUAAGACUGGGAUAACUUCGGGAAACCGGAGCUAAUACCGGAUAAUAUAUUGAACCGCAUGGUUCAAUAGUGAAAGACGGUUUUGCUGUCACUUAUAGAUGGAUCCGCGCCGCAUUAGCUAGUUGGUAAGGUAACGGCUUACCAAGGCAACGAUGCGUAGCCGACCUGAGAGAGUGAUCGGCCACACUGGAACUGAGACACGGUCCAGACUCCUACGGGAGGCAGCAGUAGGGAAUCUUACGCAAUGGGCGAAAGCUUGACGGAGCAACGCCGCGUGAGUGAUGAAGGUCUUCGGAUCGUAAAACUCUGUUAUUAGGGAAGAACAAAUGUGUAAGUAACUAUGCACGUCUUGACGGUACCUAAUCAGAAAGCCACGGCUAACUACGUG